RNAcentral lists this transfer RNA (70 nucleotides) under Balta hwangorum. Its description in RNAcentral is "tRNA-Lys". The record is from RNAcentral. Lineage: Eukaryota; Metazoa; Arthropoda; Insecta; Blattodea; Pseudophyllodromiidae.
UACUAGGUGACUGAAAGCAAGUGUUGGUCUCUUAAACCAUAUAAUAGUAUAUUAGCAAUUACUUCUAGUA